AGUAAGCACGACUUUUAACAGUGCAGCAUUUGGCCACAAGAGCGCGCCUGAGCCACAUUAGUGGCGGGCGGUGAACAUGCCAAAAUCUCCUUUCUCUUGUCACAAAAAAGCAUUCCAUUCCAAACACUGUCAAAGCCACACCGAAGGCUGUCAGCAUCUCUUUCUGUCUCGCACGAUGAUCCCUGAAAAGCCAGAUGUCGUACACACCGUUGCUUUUUAUUUACUUUUUCUGUCGUUCGUUCCUGCCAACAUUGCCACCAGCAACUCAAGACGGAACCUAGAUGCAAAUGAAGUCCUCGAUGACAGCCAACCUGGUGAGUCUCAUUGAUUAUUCCCCAUUCAGCUAGAAAUGGUUCAAUAGAAAGGACCACUUUUAAAGAUGCAGUAAGUAUGAAUUUAUUUAGCUGCUUGCUAAUCAAAUCUUCUGAAAUGUCUCACUUGAUUCAACCAAUAUUGUAUACAUUAUGAUUGCACUGAACAAUACCUAUUUACCUGUUGUUAUAAGACAAUGAAGUACAAAACGAAAGUGAAACAACGGAACUGCCCACUUCCUGAAUCAGAUGCCCAUAGGGGGUGAAAAUGAAAACCAAACCCAAUUGCAAUUACAAUGUUUCUAAUACACUAACCUGACCCAUCACUAACAGUGAUCAGGCUUCAUUGAACAAAGUGAUUUCUCUCCUGGAAAAGCUUCUCUCAAACCAGGAACAUUUCACUGUACGGACAAUUUAUGUUUCACGAGAGCCCAAGCAAUUCCCCAGUGUUUCUCCAGAUCAAAUAUGAAGACAUUACACAUCUCCAGUCAGAACAGGCCUUGCACAAACUUUUUCCCCCUGGCACAUUUUCUGGCUAGUGCCUACAUUGCCUUCAUUGCCUUCAUUGUUGUUUUCCUUACAAAUUAUAACUUUGCACAUGUGUGCGUUCCUAUCAAAGUAAGUGCCU
RNAcentral lists this long non-coding RNA (939 nucleotides) under Oncorhynchus kisutch (coho salmon). RNAcentral's name for it is "lncRNA (ENSOKIG00005007663.1)". Lineage: Eukaryota; Metazoa; Chordata; Actinopteri; Salmoniformes; Salmonidae. The record is from RNAcentral.